AUGGCGCGGCUCCGGGCGGCCGUGACCCUGCUGGAGUCCGGGGGGGACCUCCAGCCCCCCGGGGGGUCCCUGCGCCUCCUCUGCCGAGGGUCUGGCUUCGAUUUUGGCAGUUUCACCACGUACUGGGUUCGCCAGAGACCCGGGCAGGCCCUGGAGUGGCUCGCGGGGAUCAGCACUGGUGGCAGCACCGCCUACGCGCCCUCGGUGCAGGGCCGGGUCAGGAUCUCCAGGGACAACGGGCAGAGCUCGGUGACGCUGACCGUGAACAACCUCAAGGAUGAGGAUUCCAGAUCCUAUUUCUGUGCCAAAAACACUUAUGAUGGUGCUGGUUGGGAAACUCAUGCUAGUUCUUUUUUUGGCCAUGUCCCCAUCAAUGUGUCCCCACCUGUUCCCAAAUCCCCGAUUAUUCCCUCUCACGCUUGA
Non-coding RNA from Passer domesticus (house sparrow), 423 nucleotides. NCBI's taxonomy places the organism in Eukaryota, Metazoa, Chordata, Aves, Passeriformes, Passeridae. The record is from the annotation of a RefSeq genome assembly.